RNAcentral lists this ribosomal RNA (527 nucleotides) under uncultured bacterium. Its description in RNAcentral is "bacterial SSU rRNA". It matches the Rfam family "Bacterial small subunit ribosomal RNA", at positions 977 to 1509 of the family's 1533-position model. The record is from RNAcentral.
CCCCUUGACAUGCCUGGAACCCUGCAGAGAUGUGGGGGUGCUCGAAAGAGAACCAGGACACAGGUGCUGCAUGGCCGUCGUCAGCUCGUGUCGUGAGAUGUUGGGUUAAGUCCGCAACGAGCGCAACCCUUAUCAUUAGUUGCUACGCAAGGGCACUCUAAUGAGACUGCCGGUGACAAACCGGAGGAAGGUGGGGAUGACGUCAGGUCAUCAUGGCCCUUAUGGGUAGGGCUACACACGUCAUACAAUGGCCGGUACAGAGGGCUGCCAACCCGCGAGGGGGAGCUAAUCUCAGAAAACCGGUCGUAGUCCGGAUCGCAGUCUGCAACUCGACUGCGUGAAGUCGGAAUCGCUAGUAAUCGCGGAUCAGCUUGCCGCGGUGAAUACGUUCCCGGGUCUUGUACACACCGCCCGUCACACCAUGGGAGCGGGUUCUGCCAGAAGUGGGUAGCCUAACCGCAAGGAGGGCGCUCACCACGGCAGGGUUCGUGACUGGGGUGAAGUCGUAACAAGGUAGGCGUAGUGCU